Long non-coding RNA from Anopheles darlingi, 303 nucleotides. RefSeq lists it as uncharacterized. The transcript has 3 exons. The record is from RefSeq and is a predicted model, not a curated record. Lineage: Eukaryota; Metazoa; Arthropoda; Insecta; Diptera; Culicidae.
GGUGGCUCCCGGAUGGUGGAGUAGAUGGUUUGUGCAGGCAGCGUCACUGGUGGUUCACGGAUCGUGGAGUAGAUCGUUUGAGGUGGCAGCGUUACUGGUGGUUCGCGGAUCGUGGAGUAGAUCGUUUGAGGUGGUAGCGUCACCGGAGGUUCGCGAAUCGUCGAGUAGAUCGUUUGCGCUGGCAGCGUUACCGGUGGCUGGGUAAUGGUGCAGCCCAGAGUGACCCAUAACACCGCACGCAUACUACGCACGGCACAGGAAUCGGAUAGUGUUGGUGGUGCCGGCCCUACGAUUAGUCCGAAU